AUUGAACGCUGGCGGAAUGCUUUACACAUGCAAGUCGAGCGGCAGCGCGGGGCAACCUGGCGGCGAGCGGCGAACGGGUGAGUAAUACAUUGGAACGUGCCCAGACGUGGGGGGAUAACUACUCGAAAGAGUGGCUAAUACCGCAUACGAUCUACGGAUGAAAGCGGGGGAUCGCAAGACCUCGCGCGUCUGGAGCGGCUGAUGGCAGAUUAGGUAGUUGGUGGGAUAAAAGCCUACCAAGCCAACGAUCUGUAGCUGGUCUGAGAGGAUGAUCAGCCACACUGGGACUGAGACACGGCCCAGACUCCUACGGGAGGCAGCAGUGGGGAAUUUUGGGACAAUGGGCGAAAGCCUGAUCCAGCCAUUCCGCGUGCAGGAUGAAGGCCUCGGGUUGUAACUGCUUUGUACAGAACGAAAAAGACUCUGGCUAAUACCUGGAGUCCAUGACGGUACUGUAAGAAUAAGCACCGGCUAACUACGU
Molecule: ribosomal RNA, 481 nt
Filed under: uncultured bacterium
Lineage: Bacteria
Description: bacterial SSU rRNA
Rfam family: Bacterial small subunit ribosomal RNA
Source: RNAcentral